UCUAAUAUGGCAGAUUAGUGCAAUGGAUUUAAGCUUCAUAUAUAAAGUUUAUUACUUUUGUUAGAA
Molecule: transfer RNA, 66 nt
Filed under: Potthastia gaedii
Lineage: Eukaryota; Metazoa; Arthropoda; Insecta; Diptera; Chironomidae
Description: tRNA-Leu
Source: RNAcentral